CGAGCUUGGGCCGAAUUGAGCCGCUCGCGAUUUCCUAUCGAUUCCACAAUCCCGACUCACCCCGUAAAAUCAGAAUCGGUGAUCCCCCAUCGAAUCACGAUUCUGACAACCAUGCUGACGAUGCCUAGUAAUCGAGAGAGGAGGCGGUGGCUACCUGCACUUGCAGAGAGGUGAGAACGGGUAUCGGCAGUGACUGCAGGCAAGGUAGCAAUUCUAACCAUCAGACUCGAGUAAGAGAAGAGAAGAACGAACUUGGACAACUGUGCACUUCUUUCAAUAUAUAUAAUCCCGUGGAAGCGAAAUUUUUCUCCUGGGAAGUAGGUAUCGAAAUUUGUUGCUGGACUCAUCAGUAAAUCCUAGAUUCUAUACCAUUUCCGUGAUCAGUCCUCAGUAUUUUCGGCACAAUUUUCAGAUGCAUCCUUAAUAACAUAUUAUUUAUGUAGUCUCAAGCCAUGGAUAGUCCACUUGACGAAGCUACAUACAACAGAAAUUAUGUAGGACUGUUAUUUCAGUGCGGCAUACAUCAUUAGAUUUAACUGGUCUGAUUCGUGAAAACAGAUGAGCUUGAAAUGAUAGAAAUAACUAUGCAUAAACUGAGAGGAAAGGAAGAUCACGAGCCACCGGAAUGCAGACGAAUGGAUGAGCAAACGUCAAGGUGAUCCCCGGGGCCUCGGUCAUAUCUACUUUGCAGUUUUUCCCCGUCCCAGCCUUCCAAUCGAAACACUGAACUAGACUUGCGAGUGCCGCUUGAAUCACUUGAAGCGCUAGAGAGACUCCCGGGCAGCUCCUCCUUCCACUUCCGAAAGGCAGCAGCUGGUAAUACUGACCCCUGACGUCGACUUCACUGCUCUUCCCUUCCCCGAGCAUGAACCUUUCAGGGAUGUGGUAGCCUCCCACUGUGCAUUCCUCGGUAGAUUCCCGGGUGAACAAAGGGCCCGAGGGGUGCAGUCUUAAGGUCUCCUUAACAAUCGCUUGCAGGUACGGAAGGCUCGGGAUGUCCGACUCCUCCACCAACC
Non-coding RNA from Punica granatum (pomegranate), 1016 nucleotides. Lineage: Eukaryota; Viridiplantae; Streptophyta; Magnoliopsida; Myrtales; Lythraceae. The record is from RefSeq and is a predicted model, not a curated record.